GGGGCUGACUGGUUUUGACAGCGGGUAGAAGAGGUGUGUAAGCAUGCCGAGCUUUGUUCAUUGGCUCGCUAAUCUUAAUGUUCACAAUUUUAAUUGGCGAAAAUAACUACGCUCUUGCUGCGUAAUCGAAUUAUAGUAGAUUACACUUAAUUCCUGCAUUAGAUGCGGGAACAAGACAUCGCCCGGAUGCUAUUGCUUUGAAGCGGUCCGAUAGUGCGGUGCAAAAAAAUCGAAGCUAGUUGAGAUGUUGCUCUGCCGUCUCGGCGAAAUUUAAGGAGCUAAGGAUAUGAUCGGUGGUUUUGAUCCAGUCUUAUCUCGAAAAUUAAGUCAGAACUAAGCAUGUAGAAAGCAUAUUGCUUCCUCGUUUGGACGCGGGUUCGACUCCCGCCAGCUCCACAA
This 399-nucleotide transfer-messenger RNA is filed under the name Puteibacter caeruleilacunae. RNAcentral's name for it is "Standard tmRNA". It matches the Rfam family "transfer-messenger RNA". From Rfam's summary of the family: Bacterial tmRNA, also known as 10Sa RNA or SsrA, is named for its dual tRNA and mRNA-like properties. Its role is to liberate the mRNA from a stalled ribosome. Lineage: Bacteria; Pseudomonadati; Bacteroidota; Bacteroidia; Marinilabiliales; Prolixibacteraceae. The record is from RNAcentral.